Molecule: ribosomal RNA, 492 nt
Filed under: uncultured bacterium
Lineage: Bacteria
Description: partial 16S ribosomal RNA
Rfam family: Bacterial small subunit ribosomal RNA
Source: RNAcentral
AGUGAACGCUGGCGGUAGGCCUAACACAUGCAAGUCGAACGGCAGCACAGUAAGAGCUUGCUCUUACGGGUGGCGAGUGGCGGACGGGUGAGGAAUACAUCGGAAUCUACUUUUUCGUGGGGGAUAACGUAGGGACACUUACGCUAAUACCGCAUACGACCUACGGGUGAAAGCAGGGGAUCUUCGGCCCUUGCGCGAUUGAAUGAGCCGAGGUCGGAUUAGCUAGUUGGCGGGGUAAAGGCCCACCAAGGCGACGAUCCGUAGCUGGUCUGAGAGGAUGAUCAGCCACACUGGAACUGAGACACGGUCCAGACUCCUACGGGAGGCAGCAGUGGGGAAUAUUGGACAAUGGGCGCAAGCCUGAUCCAGCCAUACCGCGUGUGUGAAGAAGGCCUUCGGGUUGUAAAGCCCUUUUGUUGGGAAAGAAAAGCAGCAGGUUAAUACCCCGCUGUUCUGACGGUACCCAAAGAAUAAGCACCGGCUAACUUCGUG